Cavia aperea (Brazilian guinea pig) is the source of this 87-nucleotide small nucleolar RNA. Ensembl annotates it as small nucleolar RNA, C/D box 111. The record is from Ensembl. Lineage: Eukaryota; Metazoa; Chordata; Mammalia; Rodentia; Caviidae.
UAGCCUGAAAUGAUGCCUAAAUUUCGUGUCUCUUCUCUGACAAUUUUGUCUGGAGAUGGUUUUUGCCUUAUUGAUCUGAUCAGGCUG